GGGCGUGGCCUAAAUGGCAGGGCCCCCUCACAGGACAAGAAGCAGAGGACACACAGGGCCGGGGACAGGUGAUGUAACUGACCUGUCAGGUAAGGGUCAGUGGAGUGGGCGGGGUCAGGAGAAAGGGGGGGGGCACACACAGUACAGGAAGUAGAAGACACAGCAUGGUGGGGACCCAAAGUGAAGCAGGGCUGUGGCAAGCGAGGGAGGCUUGGCCUAGACGUAAGGGCGGGGCCUCGGCGGGGUGGGUGUGGCCCCACACAGCACAGGAAACAGAGGUCACACAGUGGUGAGGACAGGAAGUAACAUCACUGAGCAACCACUGUGGGGGUGUGAGGGCACGGCCAGAAAGACUGGGCGGGGUCCCCCGGGGCCCUGCCCACCUGCAGGAAGGGCACAAAGUCCUCCUGGAUGAGGCCGCUACACCCUGGGCGGCCCAGCAGCCGCACGAACCGCGCAGCAUCAUCGUGGCAGGAAGUCCCUCCCCUUCGGACGUGAUUGACAGGAUCUACUUCCUACGGCUUCGUACGCAGACACGUAGGCCGGGCUCACCCGCACUGGCCCUUCUCCCUGCGGGCUGUCCCUCACGCACUCACCGUCCUGGGUCCCGUCGUUCUCAGCGCGGGCCGCGGCAGCGGUCGGGGGGCGGGGUUAGGGUCGGAGGUCGUGUUUACGGGGUCCGCAUCUGGGGUCGCGGCGGCGGCGGGGUCAGAGGUCGCCCCUGGGUCCCGGAUGCGGUGGAGGGCGUGGCUGAGCGCGCGCUGCGUGUGAGGAUCACCGAGCCAGCGCCGGAAGAGCUCGUCCACCUUCAGCUGUAGCCGCGGCGUCAGCGGCGGCAUGGCAACCAGAAGGUGCCGGGCCGGAAGUGGGCAGAGACUGAUGGCAGAGGGGCGGAGCUCGGCAGAGACCGGAAGAACUGCGGUGGGAUACUUCCGAUAGCCGAGGAUUCCAAAUAAAAAUCAA
Non-coding RNA from Mus caroli (Ryukyu mouse), 963 nucleotides. The record is from RefSeq and is a predicted model, not a curated record. NCBI's taxonomy places the organism in Eukaryota, Metazoa, Chordata, Mammalia, Rodentia, Muridae.